UACCGAGGUCCCAAGCGUUACUGAGAAUCACUGGGUUUAAAGGGUGCGUAGGUGGUCCGUUAAGUCAGUUGUGAAAUCCCCGGGCUCAACCCGGGAACUGCUUCUGAUACUGGCGGACUUGAGGCCAGUAGGGGUCACUAGAACUGACGGUGGAGCGGUGAAAUGCGUAGAUAUCGUCAGGAAUGCCGGUGGUGAAGACGGGUGACUGGGCUGGUUCUGACACUGAGGCACGAAAGCGUGGGGAGCGAACGGG
Molecule: ribosomal RNA, 253 nt
Filed under: uncultured bacterium
Lineage: Bacteria
Description: partial 16S ribosomal RNA
Rfam family: Bacterial small subunit ribosomal RNA
Source: RNAcentral